This 93-nucleotide transfer RNA is filed under the name Rhodocyclaceae bacterium. RNAcentral's name for it is "tRNA-Ser". It matches the Rfam family "tRNA". From Rfam's summary of the family: Transfer RNA (tRNA) molecules are approximately 80 nucleotides in length. Lineage: Bacteria; Pseudomonadati; Pseudomonadota; Betaproteobacteria; Rhodocyclales; Rhodocyclaceae. The record is from RNAcentral.
GGAGAUGUGGCCGAGUGGUCGAAGGCACUCCCCUGCUAAGGGAGCAUCGGGGCAAAACUCUGAUCGUGGGUUCGAAUCCCACCAUCUCCGCCA